GAUGAACGCUGGCGGCGUGCCUAACACAUGCAAGUCGAGCGAUUUACUUCGGUAAAGAGCGGCGGACGGGUGAGUAACGCGUGGGUAACCUGCCCUGUACACACGGAUAACAUACCGAAAGGUAUGCUAAUACGAGAUAAUAUGCUUUUAUCGCAUGGUAGAAGUAUCAAAGCUUUUGCGGUACAGGAUGGACCCGCGUCUGAUUAGCUAGUUGGUAAGGUAACGGCUUACCAAGGCGACGAUCAGUAGCCGACCUGGGAGGGUUAUCGGCCACAUUGGAACUGAGACACGGUCCAAACUCCUACGGGAGGCAGCAGUGGGGAAUAUUGCACAAUGGGCGAAAGCCUGAUGCAGCAACGCCGCGUGAGCGAUGAAGGCCUUCGGGUCGUAGAGCUCUGUCCUCAAGGAAGAUAAUGACGGUACUUGAGGAGGAAGCCCCGGCUAACUACGUGCCAGCAGCCGCAGUAA
Molecule: ribosomal RNA, 468 nt
Filed under: uncultured bacterium
Lineage: Bacteria
Description: partial 16S ribosomal RNA
Rfam family: Bacterial small subunit ribosomal RNA
Source: RNAcentral